UGGGGAAUCUUGGACAAUGGGGGCAACCCUGAUCCAGCGACGCCGCGUGGGUGAAGAAGGCCUUAGGGUUGUAAACCCCUUUCACCGGGGAGGAUGAUGACGUUACCCGGAGAAGAAGCACCGGCUAACUCCGUGCCAGCAGCCGCGGUAAGACGGAGGGUGCUAGCGUUGUUCGGAAUCACUGGGCGUAAAGGGCGCGUAGGCGGCCCGAUCAGUCAGAUGUGAAAGCCCAGGGCUCAACCCUGGAAUUGCAUUUGAUACUGUCGGGCUAGAGGUCGAAAGAGGAGAGUGGAAUACCCAGUGUAGAGGUGAAAUUCGUAGAUAUUGGGUGGAACACCAGUGGCGAAAGCGGCUCUCUGGUUCGAAUCUGACGCUGAGGCGCGAAAGCGUGGGGAGCAAACAGGAUUAGAUACCCCCGUAGUCC
RNAcentral lists this ribosomal RNA (424 nucleotides) under uncultured prokaryote. RNAcentral describes it as "bacterial SSU rRNA". It matches the Rfam family "Bacterial small subunit ribosomal RNA", at positions 355 to 796 of the family's 1533-position model. The record is from RNAcentral.